UGAAGUUAAGCUGACUGGUCUGUAAUUCCCCAGGUUGUCCUUAUUCCCCUUUUUAGAGGCUGGCACUAUAUUUGCCCUUUUAUAGCCCUCUGGAAUCUCUCUGGAAUCCAUGACUUUUCAAGAUAAUCGCGAUGCAUGAGGCUUCAGACAGAGGACCGGGGACUUCAGGGACCGUUACUCUAUUGCAGGAGGGUGCUUCAGAGACAGAGGCUAAUUCCUUUGUAUGGAGACGAGGGCCAAGGCAAACUCAAGCAGUACAAGGAAGAACAACCUUACCCAAGAGUCUCUCUAUAAAGCCAGGCAGAAAGAAGUGCUGAGAAUCAAGCUCAGACUCUUCCAUCCCCCACCAUUCCCAGCCAUCCAGACGAGCAGAAUGGGGGAGUAAGGAAAAAAGAGAUUUCCCACAACCCCUUGGCAUCAUCCACACCAGGCAGAAAUGGAGGCAGACCUCUUCCAGAGUACCCCUGCAGGACUCCAGGAAGCAGAAGGAGGAGUCUCCCCCGCAUGGGACCUCAGGAGACACCUGGCAGGGGGAUCCUCAAGAACAGUUAAUUGACAGGGCAAGGGAGAGAAAUUUAACCCUCUGUGCUGGCAUACAUACGGUUUCACAGCUACAUUGUCACCACUUCAAUUUUGUUUAAUAAAUACAUCUUAUUGUAAAUAUACUAUGGCUUUCUUAUACUUAUCUCAUGGAAAAGCAUACAUUUUAUGGCAAUUCUAUGGAAAAAUCAGUUUUCAUUUUAUUUUUUGUCUAGUUAGAAAUAUA
Molecule: long non-coding RNA, 766 nt
Organism: Chrysemys picta bellii (western painted turtle)
Lineage: Eukaryota; Metazoa; Chordata; Testudines; Emydidae
Source: RefSeq, a predicted model, not a curated record